This is a long non-coding RNA of Homo sapiens (human), 12390 nucleotides long. RefSeq lists it as uncharacterized. The transcript has 2 exons. Lineage: Eukaryota; Metazoa; Chordata; Mammalia; Primates; Hominidae. The record is from RefSeq and is a predicted model, not a curated record.
GUUACCUUCAAAGGAUUUCCUUUUCUAAAAAAUUAUUUUAAAUGUCUAACUUUAUGUUAUUGCUCACGGGUAUUUGACUGAAUUGUUGAUUUAGGAUAAGUCAAUUCCUGGAGGGAAAUUACCAAAUAAAAUGAUAUGUAUUUCUUACCACAUCUCUUGAUGCUGAUUGGCAAACCUCUUUUCAUAAAAAGCCUGAUGACUUAAAUCCAGCGUUGAGUUGAAAAUUGCCUUCUUCCCUGCACGUUUUCUGUCCCCACUGUUGUCAUUAGCACCUGCUAGUCAUAGGGAAGUUUUCUCAAAGAACUUGGGAAGUAGGAGUAGAAGCAUGCCUUCUGAAAAAUCAAAGUUUAAAAUUAAUUCAGAAAGAAUUUUCAGCAUUCUUUUUGUUCAGUUUUAGAAUCAGGAUUAUGUUUACUCCUUAUUUUUAUUGGAAUAAAACAUACAGAAAGGUGCAUUCAUCAUAAAUGUACAGCUUGGUAAAUUUUCAAAAAGCAAGCAUAUCCAGGGCUGGGCGCGGUGGCUCACGCCUGUAAUCCCAGCACUUUGGGAGGCCAAGGCAGGCAGAUCAUGAGGUCAGAAGAUCGAGACCAUCCUGGCCAACACAGUGAAACCCCGUCUCUACUAAAAAUACAAAAAAUUAGCUGAGAGUGGUGGCGGGCACCUGUAGUCCCAGCUACUCGGAAGGCUGAGGCAGGAGAAUGACAUGAACCCGGGAGGCGGAGCUUUCAGUGAGCCGAGAUCGCGCCAGUGCACUCCAGGCUGGGCAACAGAGCGAGACUCGGUCUCAAAAAAAAAAAAAAAGAAAAAAAAAAAAGAAAAGCAAGCAUAUCCAGUAAACAUCACUUAGGUAAGGAAUCAGUAUAACACCCUCCCAACUGAGCUACUUCGGCCAGCUCACUUAGAUAAAGAUUCAGAGCAUCAUUAGCAUCUCAGAAACCUCACAUGUGUCCUUCCCAAUCACCACCCCGACAGAAAAUCACUUUUCUGACUUUUAUAUUUUAGUUUUGCUUGUUAUUGAACUUGAUAUAAAUGUAAUCAUCAACAUGUGCUCUUUUGUGUCUGGCUUCUUUUACUCCACAUUGUGAGAUUUGUUCAUAUUGUUAUCUGUAACAUUCGUUUGUUCUUUUCUGUUUGCUGUAUAAUAUUCCAUUGUCAUAAAUUAUCAGAAUUUCUUUAUUCAUACUACUGUUGGUGAACAUUUGGGUUUUUCUAGUUUUGGGUUUACAACAAAUAGUGCUGUUUUGAACAUACUUGUACAAGUCUUUUAGUGGAUAUAUGCCCUCAUUCCUCUUGGAUAUAGACCUAGGAAGCUAAAUUAAAACAGGUAACAACUAUAAUAAAUGCAAUGUGUGAUCUGAGAAUGGAUCCUGGGUUGCAGCAGGUGGUGUGUAAACUGUAUUGCAGUUUCUUAUAAAGCUGAAGAUGCACUUACUAUAUGACCACAUAACACUAUUUUAGGUAUUUAUCCAAGAUAAAUGAAUAUGUUUGUUUACACAAAGAUCUGUAUGUGAAUGUUUAUAGUAGCAUUUUUCACAUUAGUCUAAAACUGGAAGCAGACAAGAAUGACCAACAGAUGUUAAAACUAUUGGGUAAAAAACUAAUUGAGAACAGAAUAUUUGCAUAGUCUCAAAUUUUCCUAUGGAUAUCAUAGAUACUAUUCCUUCUAUGUUAAUUAGUUGGCAUCCUCUCGAGUUUCCCUUCUGCCUCUUUCUUUAAUGUUUUCUUAAAACUAUCAGUAUUUAGAUACUGUUAAUACAGUCUUUGUGGUUUUUUUUAUUCAGUGGGUAAAAAUGUACUCUUGUCAUUAUUUAUUUUGAUAUGCAAAUGGGGCCACUUUUGACCCAACCUUAAAGCAGUUUCUCUAUUUGACAUGCCCCGCUAGUCUUUGAGAGCUUCAGUACUCUCUGACACAACAGGAUAUUCUAGGUUCAUCUUUUCUCUUUCUCUUUUUUUUUUCUUUUCCUUUCUCCUUUCCUUUUCUUCCUUUUCUGUUUUCCUUCCUUCCUUCCUUUUUCUUUCUUUUUUCUUUUAUUUUGUCUCACUGUCACCCAGGCUGGAGUGCAGUGGCAGGAUCAUGGCUCACUGGAGCCUCAAACUCCUGGGCUCAAGUGAUCCUCUUGCCUCAGCCUCCCGAGUAGCUAGGGCUACAGACAUGUGCCACAAUGCCCAGCUAACUUCUCAAAAAUUUUUUUAUAGAGAUAGAGUCUCAUUAUGUUGCCCAGGCUUGUCUUGAACUCCUAACUGAAAGCAGUCUUCCCACCUCAGCCUCCUAAAGUGCUGAGAUUACAGUAGAUUUGUCUGUACAGUACUCUCUUCACCCCCAUCCUAGAAUAAUUGAUUUCUCCAAGGAGCCCUAUUUCCUUUUAGAGGGAAAUGAUACUUAGAAACCAAGAUCUUGAUGCUGGGUGUACUCAUGGUUACUGGAGUGGCAUUGCUUCUAGGUACUCUUGGGGGACAGAGCUAGGAGAUACAACUUGUAAAAAUUCAUGAGUUUAUACUGAUACCUGUAAUUCCCAUCAAACAUCUCGAUGUUCAUUUGUUCUCCCGUUUCAUAUUUGAAUGUCCCUUCUCCCUGAAUGAGACUCCAACAGUAUAUGUACUCACUUGCUAAAUCUUAUACAUACAAAUAAGAGUUUUCAGAAUUGCUACAUCAAUACCACUCUCAAAAUACGUAGUAACUAAAGCCCAAGAUUUCUUUGAAGUUCUUUUUGUCCUUAGAAAGUAUCCUAUUGAGAGUACACAGAGAACCAUGUUCAAAAGUUUCUUGAAUUAAUUUUUUUCUUAUGUGUUUAUGUUAUCUACUUGAUACACAGUUAGGUUUAACUGAUUUCUGUUGGCAUUCCAUUUUAGUUGUUUCUCCAUUCUUAUUAAUUUACUUUUUUUGAUAUUUAGGAGAGGGGAAUAGUUUAAAAGUCAAAGCUAUUAAAAAGAUACACUCAUAAAAGUUCCACUCCGCUUCCUAUCCCUGCUACCUCCUUCUCACCCAUCCUCUGAGGUAAACAACUUCUCCUUCUUAUUUUUUUUGUAAGAAUAAACAGAUACAAAUAUCUGCUUUCCCCCUUUUUUCUUAUAUAAAAUGUAGUAUACUAUAUACCGAUGUGUCUGACGUACGAUGGUUCAAUUUACAAUUAUUUGACUUUAUCAUAUGUGACAGCAGUAUACAUUCACUGAAAACAAUACUUGCAGUUUUGAAUUUUGAUCCUUUCCUAGGCUAGAGAAAUGUGAUAUGAUACUUUCACCAUGCUGGGCAGUGCAGCUCCCAGUCAGCCAUGUGAUCACGGGGGUAAACAACCCAUACUACAAUGUACUCUGUUGCCAGUGUUUUUUUGAAUAUUGCCUUCUAUGUUCCGCAUCCCAUCAUGUCAACAAAAUGCCCAUUUUCAACUUACGAUAUGUUCAAUUUAUGAUGGGUUUAUCAGGCGUAACCACAUCAUAAGUUGAGAAGCAUCCGUACACCCUUUUGCACAAUGUUUUUUUCGCUCAGUAUAUCUGUUUUUUGUGGUUUCAUUGUUUGUUUGUUUGUUUGUUUUAGACAGAGUCUCACUCUGUCUCCCAGGCUGGAGCGCAGUGGCAUGAUCUCUGCUCACUGCAGCCUCGGAUGCCAGGUUCAAGCGAUUCUCCUGCCUCAGCCUUCUGAAUAGCUGGGAUUACAGGCAUGCACCUCCACACCUGGCUAAUUUUUGUGUUUUUAGUAGAGAUGGGGUUUCGCCAUGUUGGCCAGGCUAGUCUUGAACUCCUGGCCUCAAGUGAUCCACUCGCCUCAGCCUCCCAAAGUGUUGGGAUUACAGGUGUGAGCCACUGCCCCAGCUCUUCCACUUGAUAUAUCUUGAAAAUCACUGUAUAUCGAUUUAUAGAGAUCUUCCUCAUUAUUACUUUUUUACAGCUAUAUAGUAUUCUACUAAGUGGAAGUACCAUGAUUUAUUUAGAUAAUUUCUUACAUUAGAUUAUUUGUAAUACUUUGCCAUCAUGAAUAAUGCCAAAAUGGUAAUCUUGUGAUAUUGUUGGAAUAUAUCUUCAGGGUAAAUUCCUAGGUUCUAUAGAAGGACUAAUUAAAUAGACAUUUCUAGAAAGAUUGAUCAAGACAAAAGAGAGAAGAUACAAAUAAACAGCAUUAGCAAUAAGAAGUACAAUAAUUAUAGAUGCAGUAGCAGAAUAAAAGAUCAGAAUGCAUUGAACAACUCAAGGCAAUACAUUUAAAGACUUAGAAGAAAUGAAUACAUUUCUGGGAAAAUACAGCUUACCAAAACUGCCUAGAAAGACGAAAUAUAGAGUCUUUUUUUUUUUUUUCUUUUUUGGAGACAAGGUAUCACUCUGUCUCCCAGGCUGGAGUGCAGUGAUGCGAUCAUGGCCCACUGCAGCCUCAAAUUCCUGGGAUCAAGUGAUCCCUCCUGCCUCAGCCUCCCAAAGUGUUGGGAUUACAGGCAUGAGCCAUCACACCUGGCCUUAAAAUCUGAAUAGACCUAUAAAUAAAAGGAAAUUUAAUUUGCAGUUUAAAAUAUUUGCACCAAAGAACAAACAAACCCAAAAUUAUCACUGGGCUCUGAUCUUCCAGGUGACUGUUCCCAAAGGAAGAGCUGAACUUAAUUUUAUAAAGCUUUCAAAAGCAAAAAAAGUGCCAGGCAUAGUGGUUCAUGCCUCUUAUCCCAGCACUUUGAGAGGCCAAGGCAGGGGAAUCGCUUGAGCCCAGGAGUUUGAGACCAGCCUGGGCAACAUAGCAAGACCUUGUCUCUAUUGAAAAAAAACAAAAAAGAGAGAGGAAAAAAAGGAAAUCUUCCCAGUUCAUUUAUGAGGCACUUUGAGACCAAUACCAAAGUAAGUAUAAGAAAGAAAAAGUAUAAGCCAAUAUCACUUAUGAAAUUACAUGUAAAAAUUAUGAAAUAAAAUAAUAGCAAUCUGAUUCCAGCAAUGCAUCAAAGUACAUCAUAACGAAAUGCUUUUUACCAAAUAUGAUAACAUUAGAGAAUGUAUUAAUAUUAGUUGAUCACACUGAGAAACUGAAGGAGAAACAUGAUUUCCCCAGUAAAUACAGAAAAAGUAUUUGAUAAAAUAAAACAUAACUCAAUUUACGGUAAUUAUUAUGAUAAAAACAACAGAUUAGGUCUAGAAGGAACUUUCUUAACUUGAUAGUGUCUAUAAAAAAUGAUUUAAACCAACCAUAGCAAGCACCUGUCUUAAAGAUGAAACAAAGGUAAAUUCUUAAUGUGUUGGACAGGGUAAGAAUGACUGAUAAUGUUGCUUCUAUCUAACAUUUUCCUGGAAGACUAGCAAGUGCAGUAAGACAUGAAAAAAUAAACAAUGGUAUUAGAGUUGGAAAGAAAGAAAGAAAAACAUUUAUGAGAAUAGACAAACUAUUGGAACUAUUUUAAAAGAUUUCUGGAUGUAAGACAAGUAUACAAAAAAAUUUUGUAUGCCUAUAAACCUAAAACAAACAUCUAGAAUAUGAUUUUUAUAAAAGAUGUCAUUUACAAUAGUAUUUUAGACAAUAAGGGAUAUAAAAAUAAAUUCAAGAAACAAUAUUCAAGACCUUAAUAGAGAAACAUAUACAACUUUAUUGAAGGACAUUGGAGAUCUAAAUAAGUGGAGAGCUGUAUCAUUUUGUUUUCUUCAAAUUAAAAUCUAUAUUCAAUGUAAUUUCAGUCAUAAUCUCAUCAGGAUUUGUUAUGGAACUUGACAGGUUGCUAUGAAAAGUUACAUGAAUACAAGCUAGGGGAUAAGAAUAGUGAAGACAAUUUUCAAGAAUAAGGUGGUGGGAGAGGACUCACCCUACCAAAUAUUAUAAGACAACUUGGUUUUGGUACAGUGAUAAGCAAAUAUGUCAGUGGAACAGAACAGAGAACCUGGAGACAUGCCCAUAUGGAAAUUUAAGAUUUGACUAAGGUGGCAUUACAAAUCAGUGGAGAAAAAGGACAAACCAUCUAAUAGUAUUAUAUGGUGCUGGGACAGCUGGCUACCUAUGUGGAAAAGAAAGAAAGUCAGAUCUCUACAUCACCUUAUAUGCAAAAGGACAUUUAAAUAUGAAAAGAAAAUAUUUGCAGCAAUGUUUAUGAUAGCAAAAAAUUGGAAACCGCUGAAAUUCCAUCAACAAGAAAAUGAAUCAGUCAUGGCUUAGUCACGCAGUGGAAUACUUAACACAGGAAAGAAAACAAUGAGCAAGGGCGACAUUUAUGAAUAUGGAUAAAUCUCAAAAACAAUGUUGAAUGAAAAAAUAGUAGCAGAGUAGUAAUGCUCUCUGUCAUUUAUAUAAUGUUAAAAAAUAUGCAAAGCAAUAUUAUAUAUAGUUUAUGAGUACAUUUUUAAUGCAUCCUUAAAAACAUCCAUGGGAACAAUAAGCACCGGCUUCGUGAUACUGUUUACCUCUGGGGAGAGAAAGCAAUGAAAUUUAGCAGGAGAACAGGGGGUGCUUCAUUUGUAUUUAUAGUGUUUCAUCUUUUAAAAACAUCUUCACAAAAAAAUUGACGAAAUAAGAUUGGACAUAUAUGGAUGCUCGUUAUCCUCUAGACUUUUCUGUAUCCUUGAAAUAUUUCAUUUUAUACAUAUAUUUAAAAAUAUAUAAAUAUAUCGAGAGAGGUAUUAUUCACAUCUCUAUUUUUAUGUCGUUGCCCUGAAACUACUACAUUGUUCUGAAAUAUUCUGAGAAAGGUUUAUAAAUUUCCCACCAUAAUUGUGUGUAUGUGCAAGUGUGUGUUUCAUUUCUUUGCAUUUCUUGCGGUUGUCUUAUAGAUUUCAAUGCAAUGGUGUUUGGUGUGUUCAGACAGUUUUGUCUUCUUGAUAUCAUCUCUAUCUCUCAAACACACACACACACACACACACACACACACACACACACGAAAUAUCCCUGUUUCAUUGAUUAUUCUUGCCUUGAAUUUUCUCUUAAUUUUUUUAUUCCUGUUUUGCUUAAAUGACUUGCAUUAUAUAUCAUUGCCUGUACCUUUAUGUCAGAGUCAUUUAAUUUCUGUGCCAUUUUGUAUUACACAUCUCUUUUGGACAAAAUAUAGCUGAAUUCUACUUUUGCUGCAUAAAAAGGCUACUUACAUUUAACUCAGUUUGAGAAACACUGCCUUUAAUUUUAAUGAGAAAUGGAACCCAUUCGUAUUUAUUCUGCCACUGAUGGUUAUGACUGCAUAUCCCAGCUGUCAAAUGGGUUUUCUUGUGGCUGUUAGCUUUUUAUUAAGCUUUGUUAUUGUUUCCACUUCUUCUCCUGAUUUAUACUAGAGGAUAAGUCCUUUAGUUUCUUUAGUUUGGAAGGGGAGCAUCCUAAUUUUCUCUACUUACCAUUCAUCUGUCAUAUUUUAUAGUACAGAGAGGUUGCAUUAUAUAUACUUUAUAAUCAAGAGUCAAAUAAUAAAUAUGACUUACCUAACGCUACCCACAUAGGAGGAGACCUGUAGCAUGUAAUUUCACUCUACUCUCUACUUGAUCAUUUUACCUCCCUCCACACACCUGCCAAGUUUUUGGAAAUCAUCUGGAAUUUCAUCAGAUUUAUAAAGCCUUUCUUAACACCUGUAUUAUACUUAACAAUUAUUUAGGCUGUGUGUGUGUGUGUGUGUGUGUGUGUGUGUGUGUGUGUGUGUGUGUGUGUGUGUUGUUUGGCUAGAAUACCCUUUAGAACAAUAUUCAGAAUAUAGGGGUAAUAUGCCUUUCUGAAUCUUUGCAUAUCUGGAGAUCUUUUUUUCUCUUUCAUACAUGAACAAUAGUUGGCCUGAUUUUCUUUUCCUUUCUAGGUAAACUUCCCCCUUCCCCUGGAAUCGUUUGAUAUUUUUUCUCUUUAUCUUUGGAGUUCAGAAAUAUCUCCUAGGAUUUAAAAAAAAAUCUUCUCUGUAUAUUUUAUAAAAUUAUACAAGUAAUACAUGAAUAUGUUCUUUGGGAUUCAAAAAUACCACCAAGAAUGUUUUAUAAAGAAUAUUUUAAAAGUUAUACAAGUAAUACAUGAAUGUUCUCUCAGCUCAGAAUUUAAACAAUACAACCAAAAGUAGAGGUCCUUGUGAUGCUCCUCAACCCCGAAUCUCUGCCCAGAGUAACCCCUGUAAGAAGUUUGGUGUGUGCCUCUAGGCUUUUUCUAGAUAUCUGCAUACAUUUAAGUCAUUUAAAGUGUUUUUUUGUUUUGUGGAGUUUUCCAUUAAAAUAUAACAAUAUACUUAUUUAUCUAUGGUUAGCUUAUGACACUUAGCAGUUUGCCUCCAUAACAAUUGGCUUCAUUUAUUUAUUUGUUUGUUUUCUCUGCUGAAUGGCACCCUCUCCUCCAGUGUGAUGGGUUGAGGUUAUGUCCGAUUAUUUGCUAUUAGAAACGAUUGUGCUGUGAAAAAUCUUUGUAAAGCCAUUUUUGCACAAGGAUAAGGGUUUCUCAAGGGCACUUCCAGAAAGUGAAUUUGCUGCAUAAAAAGCUACACACAUUUACAUCUUUAACAGAUAUGGCUGAAUUUCCCUUCAAAAAGACUAUAUUUCUCCAUGCUUUUGUAACACUAGUAUUCAUUCAUCUUUUUAACGUUUUUGCCAAUCUGAUGGGAGAAGGGGUAGAUUCUCAUUAUACUUUAAAUUUUUGUUUCCAUAAACACCAAAAAGAUGUUGGUGCUUUUUAAAUCUAUUUAUUGGUGAUUUGUAUUCCCCCUUCUCUGAAUUACCUGUUCACACUCUUUGUCCAUUCUUCCAUGGGCCAUAUUUUUCUAGUUGAUUUGUAAGAGCUCUUUAUGUAUUUUGGACAUUAAUCCUUUGGAUUAUAUAUAUGGCACGUCUCUUCUCCAGCUGUUUCUCCCUUAUUCUCUGGUGUCUUUGUUAUAGAAAAGUUUUAAAUAUUGAUGUCUUUAAAUAUAAUGAUCUCUCUUUUGAUUGAUUUGAGUCUUUUUCCACUCCACACCUCCAUCUCCUUUAUUAAAAUAACUGAGGCCAGGAGUGGUGGCUCACACGUGUAAUCCCAGUACUUUGGGAGGCCAAGGUGGGAGGAUUGCUUGAGCCCAGGAGUUUGAGACCAGUCUGGGCAACAUAGGGAGAUCCCAUCUCUACAAAAAAGUUUAAAAAUUAGCCAGGCAUGGUGGUGUGCGCCUGUGGUCUCAGUUACUCAGGAGGCUGAGGUGGGAGGAUUACUUGAGCUGAGGAGUUUGAGGCUUCAGUGAGUUUUGAUUGUGCCACUGCACAAUUGAUUGAUUUGUGAAAGCUAUGUCGUGGAAUCAGCUCUUGGAUGUAUUUAUCAAUUCUGUAUUCUAAUUAUUCUUUUAUGCUUUUGUUUUUAUAAUAUCCUUUUUCCCUCCUUUCUUUGUUUGUGGUUGGUUUUCUUACUUUUUGCCUUGAAUGCUUAGUUUAUUUAUUUUCCUUCUAAUGAAAGUGUUUAGUGCUGUGAAUUUGCCUCUGAAUAUAUCUAAAACAUGGCUAUAUCUGAUAUGUUUUCAUAUAUAGUGAUCUUAUGUUGUUAUUUUCUAAAUAAGCUUGGAAUUAUAAUUUCAAAUCCUCUUUAGUCAAUUAGAAGAACACAUUUUAAAUUCUAAGUGGUUGGGUUUUAAAAAAUGUGUUCUUUUGUUAUGUUCUAGCUUAUCUUAUUUUCAGAGAAAGUGACCUCUACAAUUUUGCCAAAUUUUGCCAUUUGGGAUUUAUUGUGGUUUUCUUUGUAGCAUGGUAUCUGAAUAUGUCAGUUAGGAUCAGGGUCAUCUGCAUGUAACAAAGUCCAAAAUAACAGUGGCUUAAACAAAAUAGUUUAUUUCUCUCUUAUGUCAAAGAAGUUUGGAGAUAAGGAGGACCCCCACAAUAUCAUCAGGAACCCAGACUUCCAUUUUUCUACACCACCAUUUUCAGUACUGGCUUCUAUUGUAAAAAGUCACCCCAUAGCCCGAGAUGGCUGCUGGAGUUCCAGCCAUCACAUUCACAUUCCAGAGAGGAGAAAGAAAAGAAGAAUAGUAGGCUAUAUCUCCCAACCGAAAUACAUUUAUCUUUAAGAUACAGCCUCUCUUUAAGGAGCCUUUUGGGAAUUUCCAUGCAACAUUCCAUGUUCUGCAUAUAUUUCAUUCAGAAUUUAGCUGGGUAUAUACAUUUCAUUUAGAAUUUAGCUGGGUAUAUAGUUGAUCCCCAAUUAUAUAAGGAUUCUAUUAGUAAGAAAGAAGGGAAGAAUGGUGAUAGGCAAACAAGAAUGCCAUAAUAACUUUUAUAAAUAUUCCAUCAACACUUUAAAAGAUAUACAAUUUGGUGGUAUCAUCACUUUGUUAAACUGGGUAACUGGGUAUUUGAAAUGGCAAAAGUUGAAUGUGGGGCUCAUUUUUCCCUGAGAAGCCAAAUGGACCCUUACACAAUUAUCAGCUGCCAUCAAGUGGGAAGAACUGGCCAACCCAGCAGAUGCCAGCACUGUCUUCCAUUCACAAGGAGUUACUGAGGCUCACCCCAUACGUUUCCACUCUCUCCUUACCCUACCCUAGACAAGCCCAUCAUUGCAGGGUCACUAUGGCCCUGUAGGCAGGUGGGAGACUUGGAUGCUGAUCCACUCCCCUGCCAUUCAGGGGUUCAUUGCUGAAGCAGAUGCUGUGAAUGUCCUAACAGGACCGAUCCUUUCCCAGCCUGGAGCAAGCAUCCUUCUGUGAAUAAACGCAUGUGGUGUAAGAAGAGGAUGCCCUGGCCCCCAAGAUCCUGUGUGAAUACUUGAUGGAGGCGAAAUGGGGAGCAUGGCCUGGGAUACCUCCCAGCAGCUCUACGAGGCAGCCAGAACUGAAAUGACAAUGCUCACCUAUCCCCACUUCCUAGCCCCAGAUAUCUGUAUCCUGAGGUUCAGAACAGUCAAGCCAGAGGCUGAGUCUCCAGAGGAACCACUGGAUUUGAAGAACCUGGGCCUCCCACCUUGGCACUUUCACAUGGACAAGCAACAUGGUCCGUCACCACUCCUCCCCACCCCUGGGCCACUGCCUCGUCUUGUGUGGAAAGAGCAUGCUGGCUGCUCCAGUGCUUCCUGCAGCCCCAUCAGCUUCUCCAAGGCCCUGCUGUCGCCUGGUAGCACUGAACAUUUAAGCAAAUGCCUGGUCUGAAGGGGAGUGAAGGUUCCAGUCCACACCUUAGGAAAGCCCCUGGUCUGAUGGAGUGGAGCUCUGUUCUCUGAGGGAUAAGACUUGUGUUCCCGAGAUGGAGAUGAGACGAUGUUCAGUGGUGUAAUGCUGACUAUGGAGCUCAGAGAAAGAAACCAGCAAAGGCCAGGAAAGAACUACAUGGGAGGAGAAGAAUGGCACUGGCAACCGGCAUCCAGGGAGCGCUUGCUGCAGGCUGCAUGCUGAGGCGAAUUUCCUCCACACCUUACUUCCUCUCAUAACCAUCCUGAGAGGUACUGGGAUUGUCCUUCACUUAACAGGUGAAGAAACAGAGGCACAAAGAGCUCCAGUGACUUGCCUGUGGUCACAUAGCUGGUAAAUGCUGGCACCAGCAUUUGACAACCAGAGCCUGAGCGUUAAUCACUAGGUCCAUGGUAGGACACCCAAAAUGAAGGGGAGCAGCAAAGGUACAGACGGAUGUGCAGAGAGCACAGCUGCCAGGGGGCUGGAGCGGCAGAGGGGACUUCAGCCAUGUUAUGAACUAUAAAUGGGAGCAGAGAUAGGAUGUGUGAUUUGGCCAAGGUCCUGCAGCGCGAUAGGGUGGAGGCUGGGCUAGAAAUCAUAGCUGUUGGCUCCUGUUUCCCUCUCCUUCCACUUUCCUUGGUACCAGCCACAUUCUGGGCGCUCUCCACCCGUCUGCGUGGCCACGCCUGAAUCGUUUCCCUCUUGGAAGAGGUGCAAUCCACUGGCAUUGAAGCUGGGUGGACUGGCUCCCUCUCUCUAUCCAUCUCUUUCUUCCUUUCCCCUGCCAUGUUCUGGAAAGGGCAGCGGGAGGGAAUGUGGGCAGGUUGCACCAGAGAUAUACAUCUGAGAGCUGAAGGGAACAUUUAUUUUUAAUUUAGACUUAAAAAGAAAAAAGGAAGUUAUAAAAUAUCUGCUCUUGCUCCUGGGAUUGUGCAGAUGGUGCUGCGUUUUGCCUAAUAGGGAAUUGGGCUGGCAUCCUCGUGCUUUUGGUCCCCGCCUGACUGUAAGGACCUGGAGGGCAGGAUCCCUGCUUCCCUGCCUCAGCCUCACAUGGCCCCCUAAGGCUCCAUUUGGCCGAUGCAGCUCGGUGUUCCUGUCUUCUAACCUCACCCUCUCCACACUCCCUCUGGUCUCCCAGACCUCCUCUGCAGUCAGACCAGUCUCUCUGCUGUCUCGGCUGUCCCUGCUCCUGUGUCGGCGCCCCCUCGGCUCACUCCUACCUCCGCCUUCGUUAGAUAGCCGGGACACACUCACCCCUCCCUUCCUAAACUCCUGUUUGGAUGUUAAAAUUUAUCAACUUUACACAUAACCAAAUACCUCAUUAAACCAUCUUGUCAUUUUCAAGCCUCGGUGUUAUAAAGGAUGUCAUCCUCCA